This 1490-nucleotide long non-coding RNA is filed under the name Homo sapiens (human). RNAcentral describes it as "HSALNT0394221". Lineage: Eukaryota; Metazoa; Chordata; Mammalia; Primates; Hominidae. The record is from RNAcentral.
UAAUCCCUGCUGCCCUUUCGCUGGCCCAGGAAGGGGUAAAUCACAGAUCAGUGUCAGAGGUGCGAUGAAAACCCAGGAGUUCUGAUUCCUGGGUCACCAUGCUCCCUUUGCCAAGGGUGGAGCCGACACCAACAGACUCUUAGCUCCUGUGCCCUGUGCAUCCUGGUGUUCGUGCACGUGCUGCACGGAAGAGCUGCAUCCUGGGACAAUUUUAUGGCUGAUGAGAACAUAUCCUGAUCCACUCCACAUUUCAGUGUAACCUUGCAGUAUACCUGUAACACUGGAGGCACACAUCUCUUCCCUAGCAGCCCUUAAGAACCUGAAUGGUAGAGAGAGGGAGGAUCACAAAAGUUUGCUUCCAGCUCUAUACUCACCCACAGAUCAACGAGGGGCAAGGAUAGAAGCAGAGACAUCAAUGGAGAAGAGGCUAUAGAAAGAUUCUGAGCAAGAAAUGACAAUGGGUUGGUAAUGGUAGUGCAGGUGAUAAGAAGAAGUCACGUUCCAGAUGUACUUUUUCAGAUCAUUUGCUCUGGAGAAAGCCAGCAGGCAUGAGAGGCCCAUGUGGUGAGGAACUGAAGCCUCCUGCCCACAGCCACAUGUGUGAACUUAGAAAUUAGAAGAUCUUCUAGCCCAGUCAAUGGCUGUACAAUGGCUACAACCCUGGCUAAUACCUUGACUUCAACCUCACGAAACACUGAGCUAGAACCACCCAACUAAGCUGUUCCUAGAUUCCUCACCAUCAGGAACUGUGUGCUCCUGCAGACAGAUCAUCAGAAAAUUCAACUUUCAAGUGAGGAUCAUAAGCCAGAGAGUGCAGGACUCCACACCAGGGCAGAUGACCUGUGGAUUCCAGAAGCUCUCAGGAAUUUUGCAGAUUUCUCAAGGGCAACCCUGUCCAUAGAACGGGGAAAAGAACAAGCCCAUGCCUCCAAAGAGAAACUUCACAGUUCGCCUAAGUUUAACCUCUAGUGAUUCAUUCUCUUGUGUGUGGGGGCCUUCUGAUCUCUGGGAGCUCCCUCAAAGGCAAACUCCCAUGCAGAGGGCAUUUCUGAGGACUGAAAUCCAGAUUAAAGCCGCAGCAUCUCUCAGUUGAAGGCAGAGGUAUAAAGUCAAAGACUCCAGAAGUUCUUGGAAAAUGAUAAGUCAAUCUCUUGACAAAUGAUCCAGGGGCAACUUCGAAUUCCUGUUUCUAUCUCUACCUCUCUGAUUACUUUAACAAGCACUUUCUGAUUGGACCUUGGUAAUUCCAGCAAGCCAAGACUUUCCAUGGGACUUCACCUUACCCUCUUAGAUUACUGGCAACCUCGCAUCCCCUGAAUUCCUGUUCAGGGAGAAGAGCAAGUCCUUCCUUCAGGGACUGGAGAAUGACAACCUUCACAGAACCCAGAGCUAGAGACUGAGGACUCAGAAUGUAGACUGGGAAUAAGAGAACUACAGCCAGGGGCCAAAUCCCUCCAGCCACAACAACAACAAAAAAAAAAAAAAAAAAA